RNAcentral lists this ribosomal RNA (280 nucleotides) under uncultured bacterium. RNAcentral describes it as "partial 16S ribosomal RNA". It matches the Rfam family "Bacterial small subunit ribosomal RNA", at positions 506 to 785 of the family's 1533-position model. The record is from RNAcentral.
UGCCAGCCGCCGCGGUAAUACGAAGGGUGCUAGCGUUGUUCGGAAUUACUGGGCGUAAAGCGGGGGUAGGCGGUUAAGCAAGUCGGGUGUGAAAUCCCUGGGCCCAACCCAGGAACUGCACUCGAUACUGCUCGACUAGAGUCCCGGAGAGGAUGGCGGAAUUCCAGGUGUAGAGGUGAAAUUCGUAGAUAUCUGGAGGAACACCAGUGGCGAAGGCGGCCAUCUGGACGGUGACUGACGCUGAGAUCCGAAAGUGUGGGGAGCAAACAGGAUUAGAUAC